This 514-nucleotide ribosomal RNA is filed under the name Penicillium crustosum. Its description in RNAcentral is "partial large subunit ribosomal RNA". It matches the Rfam family "Eukaryotic large subunit ribosomal RNA", at positions 61 to 579 of the family's 3401-position model. The record is from RNAcentral. Lineage: Eukaryota; Fungi; Ascomycota; Eurotiomycetes; Eurotiales; Aspergillaceae.
GAAACCAACAGGGAUUGCCCCAGUAACGGCGAGUGAAGCGGCAAGAGCUCAAAUUUGAAAGCUGGCUCCUUCGGGGUCCGCAUUGUAAUUUGCAGAGGAUGCUUCGGGAGCGGUCCCCAUCUAAGUGCCCUGGAACGGGACGUCAUAGAGGGUGAGAAUCCCGUAUGGGAUGGGGUGUCCGCGCCCGUGUGAAGCUCCUUCGACGAGUCGAGUUGUUUGGGAAUGCAGCUCUAAAUGGGUGGUAAAUUUCAUCUAAAGCUAAAUAUUGGCCGGAGACCGAUAGCGCACAAGUAGAGUGAUCGAAAGAUGAAAAGCACUUUGAAAAGAGAGUUAAAAAGCACGUGAAAUUGUUGAAAGGGAAGCGCUUGCGACCAGACUCGCUCGCGGGGUUCAGCCGGCAUUCGUGCCGGUGUAUUUCCCCGCGGGCGGGCCAGCGUCGGUUUGGGCGGUCGGUCAAAGGCCCUCGGAAGGUAACGCCCCCAGGGGCGUCUUAUAGCCGAGGGUGCAAUGCGAC